GCUGGGAACGGUGGCGCAUGCCUAUAAUCCCAGUGGCUCAGGAGGCUGAGGCAGGAGGAUCAUGAGUUCAAAUCCAGCCUCAGCAAAAAUGAGGUGCUAAGCAACUCAGUGAAACCCUGUCUCUA
This 125-nucleotide small RNA is filed under the name Marmota monax (woodchuck). Lineage: Eukaryota; Metazoa; Chordata; Mammalia; Rodentia; Sciuridae. The record is from RNAcentral.